GGGUCAGUAGGUUGGUCGUGCCACCGGUACGUACUGGUCUCACUGAUUCCUCCUUCCUGAAGAACCGUAAUGCCAUUAAUUUGGUGUUGCGGGGAAACAGGACUGUUACUUUGAAAAAAUUAGAGUGUAUAAAGCAAGCUAACGCUUGAAUACAUUAGCAUGGAAUAAUGAAAUAGGACGAUCGAUGCUAUUUUGUUGGUUUCUAGGAUUGACGUA
RNAcentral lists this ribosomal RNA (216 nucleotides) under Glomeromycotina sp. RNAcentral describes it as "partial small subunit ribosomal RNA". The stretch from base 40 to 216 matches the Rfam family "Eukaryotic small subunit ribosomal RNA", at positions 686 to 864 of the family's 1831-position model. Lineage: Eukaryota; Fungi; Glomeromycota. The record is from RNAcentral.